CUAUUUUCACCUGUAAAGCAGGACUGGGGUAGGCGGAGGAGGUUUACCCUGGUGCAGGUGUGCUGCAGCGGUCAGUGGAAGAAUCCGCGAGUUUCUCUGUGAAUUUCACAUUACGUCGUAGUACACUCGGUGCUUGCUUGGAAGUUUAGGGUUUUUUUCGCUGUAAAAGAAGUUUUCUUCCCACGCACAACGGACACUAAUGUUUUUGUCACUUUUUAUGGAAUCAAACUCAAAAUAAGGAGCAAAGAGAUUACCGGUUGUCAGGGUCUUUGGAACCAGCUCGCCAUUGUGGAAACUAAGGCUCACCUAUCGUUUACCUGGCUGUCCAUGAACACACCUCAAGUCUCCUGGAAGUCUGCCUGCCCACCUGUAACUCUUCCAACUCUGUCAUCAUCCAGUCUAGCAAAGCCCUCCUGAGUUUAACUGAUGGAAAAGGGCUCAGUGCCAUAGCCUGCCUGCCCUUUGUUAAUUCCCUGAAUUCUAUAAAUAAACCUUUUGAAACCC
Oreochromis aureus is the source of this 504-nucleotide long non-coding RNA. NCBI's taxonomy places the organism in Eukaryota, Metazoa, Chordata, Actinopteri, Cichliformes, Cichlidae. The record is from Ensembl.